RNAcentral lists this ribosomal RNA (492 nucleotides) under uncultured bacterium. Its description in RNAcentral is "bacterial SSU rRNA". It matches the Rfam family "Bacterial small subunit ribosomal RNA", at positions 30 to 511 of the family's 1533-position model. The record is from RNAcentral.
AUUGAACGCUGGCGGCAGGCCUAACACAUGCAAGUCGAGCGGUAGAGAGGUGCUUGCAUCUCUUGAGAGCGGCGGACGGGUGAGUAAUGCCUAGGAAUCUGCCUAGUGGUGGGGGAUAACGUUCGGAAACGGACGCUAAUACCGCAUACGUCCUACGGGAGAAAGCGGGGGAUCUUCGGACCUCGCGCCAUUAGAUGAGCCUAGGUCGGAUUAGCUAGUAGGUGAGGUAAUGGCUCACCUAGGCGACGAUCCGUAACUGGUCUGAGAGGAUGAUCAGUCACACUGGAACUGAGACACGGUCCAGACUCCUACGGGAGGCAGCAGUGGGGAAUAUUGGACAAUGGGCGAAAGCCUGAUCCAGCCAUGCCGCGUGUGUGAAGAAGGUCUUCGGAUUGUAAAGCACUUUAAGUUUGGGAGGAAGGGCAGUAAGUUAAUAACCUUGCUGUUUUUGACGUUUACCAACAGAAUAAGCACCGGCUAACUUCGUGCCAG